RNAcentral lists this ribosomal RNA (253 nucleotides) under uncultured bacterium. RNAcentral describes it as "partial 16S ribosomal RNA". It matches the Rfam family "Bacterial small subunit ribosomal RNA", at positions 524 to 776 of the family's 1533-position model. The record is from RNAcentral.
AACGUAGGUGGCGAGCGUUAUCCGGAUUUACUGGGCGUAAAGGGCGCGUAGGCGGACAGUUUAGUCAGAGGUGAAAGCCCAGGGCUCAACCUUGGAAUUGCCUUUGAUACUGGCUGUCUUGAGUUCGGGAGAGGUGAGUGGAAUGCCGAGUGUAGAGGUGAAAUUCGUAGAUAUUCGCAAGAACACCAGUGGCGAAGGCGGCUCACUGGCCCGGUACUGACGCUGAGGUGCGAAAGCGUGGGGAGCAAACAGG